Molecule: ribosomal RNA, 189 nt
Filed under: uncultured bacterium
Lineage: Bacteria
Description: partial 16S ribosomal RNA
Rfam family: Bacterial small subunit ribosomal RNA
Source: RNAcentral
CCUACGGGAGGCAGCAGUGAGGAAUAUUGCGCAAUGGGGGAAACCCUGACGCAGCCACGCCGCGUGCAGGAAGAAGGUCCUAUGGAUCGUAAACUGCUUUUAUUCGGGACGAAUGGGAAGGUUUCGACCUUGAGUGACGGUACCGAUUGAAUAAGCACCGGCUAACUCCGUGCCAGCAGCCGCGGUAAU